This 447-nucleotide long non-coding RNA is filed under the name Olea europaea (common olive). RNAcentral's name for it is "long non-coding RNA (OEUR_LNC000265)". The record is from RNAcentral. Lineage: Eukaryota; Viridiplantae; Streptophyta; Magnoliopsida; Lamiales; Oleaceae.
UUUCAUGUUGGUAGAAACCAUUAUCAAGGCAGAUGUGAAAACGUCUAAAGCAGGACUUCAAAACAACGCACAUGAACAUAUUUACAAAGCAUGACUUCAAAACUAAUGAAUGAAUAAAAUGUGAACAUGUGACAAAAUAAGUGAGUCGAGCUGAAUCAGGAGGAAAUGAAUGUUUUAGGAAUCUGAGUUGAGGUACAAAGUGAUGGUCUAGCAAACAGCAACAUGAACCUGGAACUGCAGCGGAAGAAACUCCAGUGAAUCUGCAAACAGCUCUUAAUUCCGCUCAAUGCUGUCGUCAACAGAACAAAUUAUCUAUGGCAAAAACCUUUCAGAAGUGGAUCUACACGUAAUAUUUGGUGAAAACAAUGUAGAUCCCAGAGCAAGUUUUUUCUGUGAGAAUAACAGCAACAUUCAGCUAUCAAAAACUUACUGUUGGGUUUUGAUACC